Oncorhynchus tshawytscha (Chinook salmon) is the source of this 643-nucleotide long non-coding RNA. The record is from Ensembl. NCBI's taxonomy places the organism in Eukaryota, Metazoa, Chordata, Actinopteri, Salmoniformes, Salmonidae.
CCGUGGAGGGUUUUUUCAAAAGAGGCUGUAGUGCGCACCAAAAGUUCAGCCUGUACUCAGUGAUAGACGCGGACAGGCUUGUGCACUGUUUAUCUAGUUGCUUCGUAUGUUUGUACAUAUGGAUGACAAGAAGCCUUUAAUAUUCAUAAUCUGCCUAUUGUAUUAUGUAGCCACGUGUGUUUUGGGCAACCCUGACGCAGCUUGCAGAUACAGGACAGCAAGGGUUUCCAAUAGAGGAGGUGAAAUGGUGUCUUGUUUUGAGCCAAGAGGAAGUAAUGACCCUGUGUGCAGGACAGGAUUGAAAAGCUUGGAGGGCUGCUGUGUUUACAUUAAAGAUGACCAGGCGUGGUUGAAGUGGGACGAGAAAACAAUAUUGAGAUGUGACAGCACACAUUAUGGGAACAGCGAUGGUGAAUGUGCCAGCAAUCAAUCCAGCCUUGACUGUGAUGGAGAGAUUUCUGCCAACAUGACACCUGGCACAGACACACCUGGCACAGACACACCUGGCACAGACACACCUGGACAGCAGAACACUACCCAGAACGGGACACCCACUGCCAGUCCAAGAGGUGGACCUACGCGAUUCCUGUAGAUCCGACGAGAAAAGGUUUGGAGGGGGGCUUUGGAUGACGAGUGAUGCGCG